AUGCACGCUGGCGGCGUGCCUCAUCCAUGCAAGUCGAGCGAACGGACGAGAAGCUUGCUUCUCUGAUGUUAGCGGCGGACGGGUGAGUAACACGUGGAUAACCUACCUAUAAGACUGGGAUAACUUCGGGAAACCGGAGCUAAUACCGGAUGAUAUUUUGAACCGCAUGGUUCAAAAGUGAAAGACGGUCUUGCUGUCACUUAUAGAUGGAUCCGCGCUGCAUUAGCUAGUUGGUAAGGUAACGGCUUACCAAGGCAACGAUGCAUAGCCGACCUGAGAGGGUGAUCGGCCACACUGGAACUGAGACACGGUCCAGACUCCUACGGGAGGCAGCAGUAGGGAAUCUUCCGCAAUGGGCGAAAGCCUGACGGAGCAACGCCGCGUGAGUGAUGAAGGUCUUCGGAUCGUAAAACUCUGUUAUUAGGGAAGAACAUAUGUGUAAGUAACUGUGCACAUCUUGACGGUACCUAAUCAGAAAGCCACGGCUAACUACGUG
Molecule: ribosomal RNA, 496 nt
Filed under: uncultured bacterium
Lineage: Bacteria
Description: partial 16S ribosomal RNA
Rfam family: Bacterial small subunit ribosomal RNA
Source: RNAcentral